RNAcentral lists this long non-coding RNA (1018 nucleotides) under Zonotrichia albicollis (white-throated sparrow). RNAcentral's name for it is "lncRNA (ENSZALG00000000700.1)". Lineage: Eukaryota; Metazoa; Chordata; Aves; Passeriformes; Passerellidae. The record is from RNAcentral.
UUUGGGGUGACGGAUCUGGAAUUUGAGGUGAAGGAUUUGGUUUUUGGGAUGAAUUUUGUGGGUGCAGGAUUUGGAUUUUGGGGCGAAGGGUUUGGAUUUUGGGGUGAAGGAUUUGGAAUUUUGGGAUGAAUUUUGGGGCGAAGGAUUUGGAUUUUGGGGUGCAGGGUUUGGAAUUUGGGGUGAAGGGUUUGGAUUUUGGGGUGAAUUUUGGGGCGAAGGAUUUGGAUUUUGGGGUGAAGGUUUUGGAUUUUGGGGUGAAUUUUGGAUGAAUGAUUUGGAUUUUGGGAUGAAUUUUGGGGUGAAGGAUUUGGAAUUUGGGGUGAAGGAUUUGGAUUUUGGGAUGAAGGAUUUGGGAGAUUUGGGAUGAAUUUUGGAUGAAUGAUUUGGAUUUUGGGAUGAAUUUUGGGAUGAAGGAUUUGGAAUUUGGGAUGAAUUUUGGGGUGAAGGAUUUGGAUUUUGGGGUGAAUUUGGGGGUGAAGGAUUUGGGAAUUUUGGGAUGAAUUUUGGGGUGAAGGGUUUGGAUUUUGGGAUUUGGAUUUUGGGAUGAAGGGUUUGGAUUUUGGGGUGAAAGAUUUGGGAGAUUUGGGAUGAAGGAUUUGGAUUUUGGGGUGAUGUAUUUGUUUUCUGGGAUGAAGGAUUUGGAAGCAUUUGGGAACUUUGGGGUGAAGGAUUUGGAUUUUGGGAUGAAGGGUUUGGAUUUUGGGGUGAAGGGUUUGGAUUUUGGGAUUUGGAUUUUGGUAUGAAGGGUUUGGAUUUUGGGGUGAAGGGUUUGGAUUUUGGGAUUUGGAUUUUGGGAUGAAGGGUUUGGAUUUUGGGGUGAAUGAUUUGGGCUUUGGGAUGAAAUUUGGGAUGAAGGGUUUGGAAUUUUGGGAUGAAGGAUUUGGGAGAUUUGGGAUGAAUUUGGGAUUAAGGAUUUGGAUUUUGGGGUGAAGAAUUUGAAAUUUGGGAUGAAGAAUUUGGAUUUUGGGAUGAAUUUUGGCGUGAAGGAUUUGGAUUCUGGGGUGAAGGAUUUUGGGGC